UACGUAGGGUGCGAGCGUUAAUCGGAAUUACUGGGCGUAAAGCGUGCGCAGGUGGUUUGUUAAGUCAGAUGUGAAAGCCCCGAGCUUAACUUGGGAACUGCGUUUGAGACUGGCAAGCUAGAGUCUGUCAGAGGGGGGUAGAAUUCCACGUGUAGCAGUGAAAUGCGUAGAGAUGUGGAGGAAUACCAAUGGCGAAGGCAGCCCCCUGGGAUAAGACUGACGCUCAUGCACGAAAGCGUGGGGAGCAAACAGGAUUAGAUACCCUGGUAGUCCACGCCCUAAACGAUGUCAACUGGUUGUUGGGCAACUUGAUUGUUCAGUAACGAAGCUAACGCGAGAAGUUGACCGCCUGGGGAGUACGGUCGCAAGAUUAAAACUCAAAGGAAUUGACGGGGACCCGCACAAGCGGUGGAUGAUGUGGAUUAAUUCGAUGCAACGCGAAAAACCUUACCUACCCUUGACAUGUACGGAAGUCUGCUGAGAGGUGGAUGUGCCUGAAAGGGAACCGUAACACAGGUGCUGCAUGGCUGUCGUCAGCUCGUGUCGUGAGAUGUUGGGUUAAGUCCCGCAACGAGCGCAACCCUUGCUAUUAAUUGCCAUCAUUAAGUUGGGCACUUUAAUAGGACUGUUGGUGAUAAACCGGAGGAAGGUGGGGAUGACGUCAAGUCCUCAUGGCCCUUAUGGGUAGGGCUUCACACGUCAUACAAUGGCCGGUACAGAGGGAUGCCAACCCGCGAGGGGGAGCCAAUCUCAGAAAGCCGGUCGUAGUCCGGAUUGUUCUCUGCAACUCGAGAGCAUGAAGUCGGAAUCGCUAGUAAUCGCGGAUCAGCAUGUCGCGGUGAAUACGUUCCCGGGUCU
This 858-nucleotide ribosomal RNA is filed under the name uncultured bacterium. RNAcentral describes it as "bacterial SSU rRNA". It matches the Rfam family "Bacterial small subunit ribosomal RNA", at positions 524 to 1381 of the family's 1533-position model. The record is from RNAcentral.